This 29-nucleotide non-coding RNA is filed under the name Homo sapiens (human). The record is from RNAcentral. Lineage: Eukaryota; Metazoa; Chordata; Mammalia; Primates; Hominidae.
AGCCAAGCCAGCCAAGACAGCCAGCCAGC